UGCCCCUCUCUUUGGCCGGGUUAAUUUUACAAUAAUUAAUGCCGUAAAUGCAAGAGGAGGUAGAUUGAUUGAACAGGUGGGAAUUCGCCUUCGGUGCCCGUAACGGUUGUCAAAUCCGUGGGAAAACUAUCAUCCUUGUUUCCCUCCACA
Molecule: small nucleolar RNA, 150 nt
Filed under: Drosophila persimilis
Lineage: Eukaryota; Metazoa; Arthropoda; Insecta; Diptera; Drosophilidae
Description: snoRNA:GL28010
Source: RNAcentral